GAUGAACGCUGGCGGCGUGCCUAACACAUGCAAGUCGAGCGAGAGUUUGAGGAACGAGCCUUCGGGUAAGGGAAUCGAAUGAAAGCGGCGGACGGGUGAGUAACGCGUGGGUAACCUGCCCUAUGGAGGGGGAUAACGCAGAGAAAUUUGCGCUAAUACCGCAUAAGCGCACAGUAUCGCAUGAUACAGUGUGAAAAACUCCGGUGCCAUAGGAUGGACCCGCGUCUGAUUAGCUAGUUGGUGAGGUAAAAGCUCACCAAGGCGACGAUUAGUAGCCGACCUGAGAGGGUGAUCGGCCACAUUGGGACUGAGACACGGCCCAAACUCCUACGGGAGGCAGCAGUGGGGGAUAUUGCACAAUGGGCGAAAGCCUGAUGCAGCAACGCCGCGUGAAGGAAGAAGGUUUUCGGAUUGUAAACUUCUAUCAGCAGGGACGAAAAUGACGGUACCUGACUAAGAAGCCCCGGCUAACUACGUGCCAGCAGCCGCGAUAAAGUAG
RNAcentral lists this ribosomal RNA (499 nucleotides) under uncultured bacterium. RNAcentral's name for it is "bacterial SSU rRNA". It matches the Rfam family "Bacterial small subunit ribosomal RNA", at positions 28 to 530 of the family's 1533-position model. The record is from RNAcentral.